CACUUAGAUGUUCUGGGCCGCACGCGCGCUACACUGACGAAUGCAACGAGCUUAUAACCUUGGCCGAAAGGUCUGGGUAAUCUCCAAAUUUCGUCGUGAUGGGGAUAGAUUAUUGCAAUUAUUAAUCUUCAACGAGGAAUGCCUAGUAAGCGCAAGUCAUCAGCUUGCGUUGAUUACGUCCCUGCCCUUUGUACACACCGCCCGUCGCUCCUACCGAUUGAAUGGUCCGGUGAAGCGUUCGGACCGUGGCCUUUGGACGGUUCGCCGUCUGUUGGCUGCGGGAAGUUCGUUAAACCUUAUCAUUUAGAGGAAGGAGAAGUCGUANCA
This 327-nucleotide ribosomal RNA is filed under the name uncultured eukaryote. RNAcentral describes it as "partial 18S ribosomal RNA". It matches the Rfam family "Eukaryotic small subunit ribosomal RNA", at positions 1470 to 1796 of the family's 1831-position model. The record is from RNAcentral.